This 368-nucleotide long non-coding RNA is filed under the name Homo sapiens (human). RNAcentral's name for it is "HSALNT0266450". Lineage: Eukaryota; Metazoa; Chordata; Mammalia; Primates; Hominidae. The record is from RNAcentral.
AUCGGAUCCAGCUGAUGAACUCUGGGAUUGGGUGACAGUGCCCCUUCUCUCUCUCACAGCCUGAUGUUCUGAAAAACAUCAUCACUGAGAUCAUCCACUCCAUCCUGCUGCCGAACCAGAAUGGCAAAUUAAGAUCUGGGGUCCCAGUGUCAUUGGUGAAGGCCUUGGGAUUCGAGGCAGCUGAGUCCUCACUGACCAAGGAUGCCCUUGUGCUUACUCCAGCCUCCUUGUGGAAACCCAGCUCUCCUGUCUCCCAGUGAAGACUUGGAUGGCAGCCAUCAGGGAAGGCUGGGUCCCAGCUGGGAGUAUGGGUGUGAGCUCUAUAGACCAUCCCUCUCUGCAAUCAAUAAACACUUGCCUGUGAUGCC